GACGAACGCUGGCGGCGUGCCUAAUACAUGCAAGUUGAGCGCUGAAGGUUGGUCCUUGUACCAACUGGAUGAGCAGCGAACGGGUGAGUAACGCGUGGGGAAUCUGCCUUUGAGCGGGGGACAACAUUUGGAAACGAAUGCUAAUACCGCAUAAAAACUUUAAACACAAGUUUUAAGUUUGAAAGAUGCAAUUGCAUCACUCAAAGAUGAUCCCGCGUUGUAUUAGCUAGUUGGUGAGGUAAAGGCUCACCAAGGCGAUGAUACAUAGCCGACCUGAGAGGGUGAUAGGCCACAUUGGGACUGAGACACGGCCCAAACUCCUACGGGAGGCAGCAGUAGGGAAUCUUCGGCAAUAGACGAAAGUCUGACCGAGCAACGCCGCGUGAGUGAAGAAGGUUUUCGGAUCGUAAAACUCUGUUGGUAGAGAAGAACGUUGGUGAGAGUGGAAAGCUCAUCAAGUGACGGUAACUACACAGAAAGGGACGGCUAACUACGUG
RNAcentral lists this ribosomal RNA (497 nucleotides) under uncultured bacterium. Its description in RNAcentral is "partial 16S ribosomal RNA". It matches the Rfam family "Bacterial small subunit ribosomal RNA", at positions 28 to 507 of the family's 1533-position model. The record is from RNAcentral.